ACCGAACUCACCCCCCACACACAGCUGAGGUAUUUACCCACAGGUCAAAAAUGGCUGGAUAUUGUCAGUUUGAUACAGUCUGGCUCUUCCUAUGCAUGGAGCUCCUAUCACAUGCCAGGCACAAUGGGUCCCUAAGGCUGUUCAUUUCCAGUGAGCUAUUUUGGGAGGGCAAUUAUCCUGCGAGCACCUUAUCCCCCUCAAGCACAGUCUAACAAGGCUUCCAGGAGCCAUGAGCCUGGAGUGACCUGUGGAGAGACCAGCAGCAGGGCCACAUGCUCUCUCCUAACCAUCGGACCCAACUUCUGCGGGUUCUGCGAGCCCUUCCAAGGCAAGCUGACACCUUCCUGGCCGCCAGCGUUGAUUGAGGCUGAGCUGAGAGACCCUCUAGAUGAAGGGACCAUCGCAUUUCUGGCUUUGACACCUUGGGCUUCCAGACUCAACCUCAAAAAUCAAUAUUUUAUUUCUGGCUCGUCGCAGAAGUAUCUUGGUGGACCUGCAGGAGUAAGCUUGCCCCUCGGCAUUCUGAGUCAGGGCCUGAAGGCAGGUGGCAAAUGUCCUCCAAAUGGAGGAGGAAUAUUUCAUGGACUCCGCUUCCCUGUCUCCCUCACCCCCUGCUUUGUGCGGGAUCUGAGUUGGCUGCUCUCUUUCCUGCGUAUUUUCCAGGAAGCAGGAUGCAGGUUAUCCUGAGAGGGACUAAGGGACAGUUCAUCCAUUCCAGGCAUCAUGACAAGCACUUUACACGCCUCAUUUAUCCCCACUACAGUCACAGAUGGUACAGACAAGGACUCAUUUUGAAUGUGAG
RNAcentral lists this long non-coding RNA (802 nucleotides) under Equus caballus (horse). Its description in RNAcentral is "lncRNA (ENSECAG00000050206.1)". Lineage: Eukaryota; Metazoa; Chordata; Mammalia; Perissodactyla; Equidae. The record is from RNAcentral.